CCAGGAACGGCCUUGUUUUUAGCAGCCUUGGGACGUAUAGACUACUUACAGGGAGAAAAGUCUGCCUGGUUUUCUGUCGUGGCUUCUAACCUGUUGCCAGUCCACAUCACUACCCUGAGUAACGCAGAUGCCAUCUACGAGAAGCACGCUGGCCGAGAGUUACUAAAGGUUCCCAUGGGUGGGGAAGAGCGAAUGAAAGAGUUCCCCCCACUUGUCCCUCAGGACAUUACACUGAAAGGAAUUGGUACCACUGAGGCAGUUGCAGAUAUCAAGCUUUCCUCUGCAGGUAAUUUAAUAUUUCUUCAUUAGUUUGCUUUGCAGGGUCUGCAUCCUAGAAACAUUGAUGGGAAGAGAUCUCUGAAGGGGUGAAGCCAUAUUUCCUGCUCAGAGCAGGACUGUCAACAACACAAAAUCACAGCAGCCAUGGCUUUGUCCAGCUGAGGCUUGACAACCUCCAGGAAUGGAGAUUGACAGCCAUGUUUGUAC
Molecule: long non-coding RNA, 486 nt
Organism: Neopelma chrysocephalum (saffron-crested tyrant-manakin)
Lineage: Eukaryota; Metazoa; Chordata; Aves; Passeriformes; Pipridae
Exons: 3
Source: RefSeq, a predicted model, not a curated record